GCGCCACUGACGUCACCAGCACGCGCCUCGGGCUCUGCAGUCUGCCAGCGAGGGAGUUAGGCGCGUCCAGAUUCUCCUCGAGCCUCCUGCCCGCCCAGUGGCCGCAGUCACCCAGGUCCAGAUGCCGCGGUGUCACAGACUCUGCGACAUGUCGAUGCUGGCUGAGCCUCAGUGAAAGGAGAAGUGGGCUGUGGAUCCUCAGAACACUGCCUGGAGUAAUGAUGAUUCCAAGUUUGGCCAGAGGAUGCUAGAGAAGAUGGGGUGGUCUAAAGGAAAGGGUUUAGGGGCUCAGGAGCAAGGAGCCACAGAUCAUAUAAAAGUUCAAGUGAAAAAUAACCACCUGGGACUCGGAGCCACCAUCAAUAACGAAGACAACUGGAUUGCACAUCAGGAUGAUUUUAACCAGCUUCUGGCCGAACUGAACACUUGCCGUGGGCAGGAAACCGCAGACCCCUCAGACAAGAAGGAAAAGAAAUCUUUUAGCCUUGAGGAAAAUUCCAAAAUCUCCAAAAACCAUGUUCACUAUAUGAAAUUCACAAAAGGGAAGGAUAUAUCAUCUCGGAGCAAAACAGAUCUUGACUGCAUUUUUGGGAAAAGACAGUAAGAAGACUCUUGAGGGCGAUGACAGUUCCUCCACUCCAGACGAGAACGAAAGCACAACAACCGGUGCCUUCACCAUCCAGGAGUACUUUGCCCAGCGGAAGGCAGCACUGAAGAACAAGCCCCAGGUCCCAGAUCCAGGCUUGACCUUCCCAACACGCAGGUGGAUAGAAAAAAGAUGAAGAAAAGAAAGAAAGAGGCAGCAGGUAAGGAUGUGAAGAGCUCCCCAAAGCCUAAGGCCAAGAGGCAUACGGAGGAAAAUCCCAAGAGGGACAGGGCCCAGGAGCAGGGGGCCAAGAAGAGUGCGGGGGAGCAGCUCAGAGGCCUCUGCUCAGGAUGCUGGGGACUGUGCGACUUCACCCUGAAGCCCAAAAAGAGGAGAGGGAAGAAAAAGCUGCGAAAGCCGGUAGAGAUAGCAGAGGAGGCUACGCCAGAAGAAACGCCAGUGAAAAGGAAGAAGAAGAAAGAUUUCAAAUGAAUCUCCCCAGCCGUGCCCUUCUAACCACUCAGCUGUCAAGCUGCUGCCAGGGCAGACACUCUGGCCUGAAGUCAGAGCAGAGUCCACCCCAGAGAGCCUGGGCGCAUCUUGUGACAUGCCCAUGGGCGGCCGAGUCCCGCCCUCUCGCCACAUUUCCCCCAAGUUAGGUUCCCAGGAGGACCUUUUUAAUGUUCUAAAUCAUGGCUCUCAGAAACAAAUAAAUUUGUUUAUAAACUCUGAAAAAA
Molecule: RNA transcript, 1323 nt
Organism: Sapajus apella (tufted capuchin)
Lineage: Eukaryota; Metazoa; Chordata; Mammalia; Primates; Cebidae
Gene name: PIN2/TERF1-interacting telomerase inhibitor 1 pseudogene
Exons: 1
Source: RefSeq, a predicted model, not a curated record